RNAcentral lists this long non-coding RNA (244 nucleotides) under Elaeis guineensis (African oil palm). RNAcentral describes it as "long non-coding RNA (EGUI_LNC004524)". Lineage: Eukaryota; Viridiplantae; Streptophyta; Magnoliopsida; Arecales; Arecaceae. The record is from RNAcentral.
GGUUAGGGUUCGGAUUAGAGUAGAGAUGCAAAGAAGGUUGGAUUGGAAAAGAAAACCCAAAAAAAAAUAGAAAUAAAUGAUCGAAAAGAGGAAGGGAGGAAUAUGGUUUGGAUCAGAACAAAGAGGAAAAAAAAUAGAAAAGAAAAAAUAAUAAGUGUGGGAAUAGGAUUAGGACAGGGUUGCAGAGAAAGUUGGAUCGAAAAAGAGAACCGAAAAAAAUAGAAAUAGAUGGUAAAGAAGAUGA